This 110-nucleotide non-coding RNA is filed under the name Azospira oryzae. Its description in RNAcentral is "Dechlorosoma suillum Glycine sequence". It matches the Rfam family "Glycine riboswitch aptamer". From Rfam's summary of the family: This family represents the bacterial glycine riboswitch. The record is from RNAcentral. Lineage: Bacteria; Pseudomonadati; Pseudomonadota; Betaproteobacteria; Rhodocyclales; Rhodocyclaceae.
GCCGCGCAAACGGGAGAGCGCGGCCCGGCUUCCACGGGCUGCCGCCGAAGGCGCAAUCCACCAUUCGCUAGCCCCGAAAUCGCUCAGGCAAAAAGGACCGUUUGCGGCAG